UCUUAACUGGCCUUCUGUGUUUAUCACCAGAGUUGCCGUCUCAGAUAUUCCUGCUGCCAAGACCCCCACAGAAAAGAGCACAGGGAAGACAUCUUGGCUGCACAGGCUUUUCGGUCGACCAGUGAAUAAAGAAAAUGGACAGUGCAAAGACGCGGCCUGUCACGAUCCACCACCACAACAGCAGCUGAAAGUAUAAAAUCAGAGAAGAGCAGCUGGAGCAGCAAAAUCUUUGCCUGCUGCAGAAGAAACAAUCGAGUCGCUCCAGCUGCUUACGACAAAGACGAGCAGAGAAGAGCAGAGAAACCCUGCAGAAGUCCUGUGGAAACUCCAGAUGACUCACACUGCAGAUGAGGUUGAUGAGGUGCUUGAGUUUAAAGCUCCUGAAGAGAAAGAUGAGGAAGCAGCGGACGAGGAAACAGACAAGGAGCAAAGGAACGAGCUGCCCUUUGUUAGCACUCCAGGAGACCAGGAGGUGCUGCAGCCACUGUGCAACCAGGACACGUCCUCCAGAAGUCCUGUCAAAUCUACAAAGAAGACUCACACUGCAGAUGAG
This is a long non-coding RNA of Scatophagus argus, 553 nucleotides long. RefSeq lists it as uncharacterized. NCBI's taxonomy places the organism in Eukaryota, Metazoa, Chordata, Actinopteri, Scatophagidae. The record is from RefSeq and is a predicted model, not a curated record. The transcript is spliced from 5 exons.